This 8532-nucleotide long non-coding RNA is filed under the name Gossypium barbadense (sea-island cotton). RNAcentral's name for it is "long non-coding RNA (GBAR_LNC006689)". The record is from RNAcentral. Lineage: Eukaryota; Viridiplantae; Streptophyta; Magnoliopsida; Malvales; Malvaceae.
AUAUUCUUGCUCUUAUGUUUUUUUUUUUUUUUACUUUUUCAUGCUUAAGAUGGAGAUUUAAUUAAAUUUUGUUUAAUUUAGUCCUUAAUCUUAUUGGCUUUUAUGGAUAUAAGGGUGAAGAAGGGGGGGGUUAGAAUGAGCUAAUUAAAUUAGGACAGUAGAUUUAAUUUUGAGAAAACCAUAAUUUGCGGGAAAAUAAGUAAGUAGCAAAUCCUACCACCGUAUCAUUGGGUAAAAUCUUACACGUGUCUGCCUCUGCGGCUCAGCGUCACCGUCAUCGGCGGUGCUCGUCGUCACCAUCGUGAAACUUUAUAUGUCUGGCGCUUUUUUUCUUCUUUUCAUUCUUUCUUUGAGUUUUUUUUAAAAAAAAAAUUACAAGUGAAAUCGAAAUGUCCAGGAUUUUGGUUGUUUAUUAAAUGUUAAGUUUGAUUUUUGAGUUAAGAGUGGAUAGCCAAAUGGAUUAUUAUCCUUAUAUUGAAAUGAUAGUUACACAGUGUUUAAACCCUGUAAUCUCAUCCCAAUAUAAUUUGGAGAUAAAAUUUAAUUAUUCUUCAACUCAUCAAUUGAAUCCUUAUAUGGAAUUUUGUGGGUGUUGCAGCAUGUUGAAGUUCCGAUUCCCAGUCCAAAAAAGGAAGAAGUUUUGAUCAAAGUAGAGGCAGCUAGUAUUAACCCAAUCGACUGGAAAAUACAGGAGGGGGUAGCGCGCCCAUUUUUACCUCGCAAAUUCCCCCACAUUCCUGGUACUUUUACUUUUCUCUAGAUGGUUCAGCCCAAUGGUGGAUUUAAAGCAUCAAAACUUUUCUUUCUUGUACUAGUUUGAAUACUUGUUUUCAAUCAUUAGCUAAAGAACAUCUGGUGGAGCAGGUACCGAUGUAGCAGGAGAAAUCGUACAAGUUGGAUCAGGUGUCCAGAGUUUCAAAGUCGGGGAUAAAGUUGUUGCCGUACUUGGUGUAAGUACUCAUUCUUAUUCUUGGGUUGUUGCAUACUUGCAUGUGGGAAACAUAUGUAUGUUUGAUGUUACACUCGACAAGUUCGUUGGUUCAAGUUUUACUACAACCAAGCCAUAAGAUUCUUGUUCGCCAUUAUUAUUCAUCUCCUUGUUUUAAAUGCUAUCUAGCAUCAUUUAUGUCCUUUUUCGUGCCAAUUUCUUAUUAUAUGAAUGUAUUUUGCAAUCAUAGAAUGGAGGUGCACUAGCUGAAUAUGCUGUGGCUAAGGCAGGCUCCACAGUUCCAAGGCCUCCAGAGGUAUCAGCCCCUGAAGGUGCAGCUUUGCCAAUUGCUGGCCUCGCAGCUCACCAGUCACUCACCCAGCUUGCUGGGCUCAAACUUGAUGGAACUGGCCCGCAAGUAAACGUAUUGGUUACAGCUGCUUCAGGUGGUGUAGGUCAAUAUGCAGUGCAACUCCUAAAGCUUGCAAAUGCACACAUUACAGCCACUUGUGGGGCUCGUAAUAUGGAUUUAGUCAGGAGCCUGGGGGCUGAUGAGGUUCUUGACUACAAAACUCCUGAUGGGGUGGCUCUCAAAAGCCCUUCUGGUCGCAAAUACGAUGUAAUCAUCCACUGUGCACACAACAUUCCUUGGUCUACCUUUUCGGCUAACUUGACUCCAAAAGGAAAGGUAGUAGAUACCACUCCUGGUUUCGGUACUUUGAUGAGUGUUGCUGCGAAAAAGAUUUCAUGCUCAAAGAAGCAACUCAUACCCUUGUUUACCUCACCUAAGAAAGAGAAUCUCGAUUUUCUUGUUAAUUUGGUGAGAGAUGGAAAGCUUAAGCCAAAAAUAGAUUCGAAGCAUCCUCUAAGUAAGGCCGAAGAUGCUUGGGCUAAGAGCAUUGAUGGCCAUGCCACUGGCAAGAUUCUUGUGGAGCCCUAGUUUAUGAAGAUAACUUGAUGCAUACAUUAAAUUUAUACUUUUUCUGUGAUUGGGGUUGCUUAUGAGUUAUUUGUAUAUUCACAAGUGCUCUGUAAUUUGAAGAAUACAAAUGUUGGUGUGUGAGUUCUUUUUUUGUUGGCAAUUUAAAGUGUGCUAACUGUAAUGUUAUUCAAAACUCUGUUUUGUUAUAAAAUUUAAAAUUUAAAAUUCAAAAUUCAAAAUUUUUUGUUUAAUGCCAUGGAAAAUUAGAUUUUGUUUUUGAAAUAUUGAACCAACCAUUUCAUUUCAAGAACACGUUUUGCUCACUAUUGAAUAUUGAAGGGAGUGAACAAUUACUCACCAUUUCAUUUCACGAACACAAUUUGCUCACUAUUUCAUUAUCAAAUGGACCGAUGGUGAAUAUUUGCUCUACAUUUUCUUUCAAAAUUUCUUUCAAAUCUUUAAAUAUUUUUUUAAGCUUUUGAUUCUUAUCAAUCAGUCUUGAAAAGUUUAUUUCUAGCAAAAUUUUUUAUGUUUUUAAGAUCAAAAUACAAUUUUCCAUUUUUUUUCAAUUUUUUGUAAGAACAUGAGAUCGAUUUCUUGAUUGUUCUUGACUUUGAUUUCUGAAAAAUUCAACUAGGCAAUGAUGAUUUAACUUAAUUUAAUGAUUUUCUAUACAUGAAAAUUAAUUUCUAAUGAUUUUCUCAUUUUUAAAGCUAUGCUCAUGUUGAUUGGAUUAGAGAGAGUCGAGAUUUCUUGUUGUUUUUGGGUUAGAUUUACAUUGCUAAUGAGUUUUUAAUUUUAUUAGGAUGCUAGGAAUUAGACUUGAUUGGAGAUUGAACAUAGUUCUUAGAAGUUGUCUUUAACGAGUGCUUAAAAGAAUGAGAAGAGAAAUUGAGUUUUCAAUAGAGAAUUCGAUGUUUUUAGGUUAGUUUUAAGUUCUUAAAUAUGAAUAUAAUGUUAGAUUUGAGUUACGGUAAGUUUUAAUUUGAAUCAUUGAAAGUGGGCAUUGAAGUGAGAAAGUGUACUGCUAAAUCACAUUGCAUGAUUUUGUUGAAAUUUAAAGGUUUUGAUUGUUGUGAUUUGUUGUUCUAACUUGGUUUAUUAUGUCGAUAUUGGCUUUAAAGUAAAAGAUGUUGGUGAGAGAUCAAAGGCGAAAUGAAGGAAAAUAUCACCGAAGCUCGAGUGGUUUCAGUUUGUGCAACUCGAUCUUCAAAUUUAUCUUUAUUAGAAUUGAGUAACCCAAAUCCUUAUUAAAAUAAAAGACAGUGGUAAAAUAAAAUAAAAGUAAAAUCAUAUAAAACUACACUUCUUUUAUUUUAUUUUAGAAUAAUAUUUUUUUAACCUUAUUACGUUUCAUCUAUUUGAUAUUGAUUAGAAUAAGGUGUUUCAACCUUACUACACCCCUUCUAUUAGAAUAUGGUUUUACAAGCUUAUAAAUAGAUAGUCUACUCCUCUUGUAAUAAUUCGAAUUCGACAUAGUGAAUUAUCUUCUCCUCUGUCCGUAAUUUUUUUCCCAAAAAGGUUUCCACGUAAAAAUCUGUAUAUUUCUUUAUUUUUCUCUAUUUUUUCUUUACGAUACAUUGUCAUUAUCGACGACAUUCUAUUUUUUUUACAAUAUUAAUCUUGUGUUAUAAUCUAAAUUGAGUUGAUGCAAUAUGAUUUUUACCGAGAUGAUUUUGAUUUAAUGUCAUGAUUACAAGUCGAAUUGAAAGUAAGCACGAAAUGUGAUAUUGAUGUUUUACAAAUGCCUAUUGAAUGUCAAAUUUCAUUGCAUCUAAUUAAAUACAAACCCUUUCAAUUUUUCUUUCAAAUUGACUCCCAAAUUUUUCGUACACAUUUCACUUCCUUCCAAAAUUUACUAUUUAUUUUAUCAUGCAAGUAUCUAUUUUUUUUUUCCUAACUUUUUUUUAUUAAUUUACCUUUAUAGGAUGCUUUGUGCACAUUAGUUUCGAGUUUUGAUUCACGGUACGUGAUAUUUUAAGUUUGAACCAAUUAAUAUUUGUUGAUGUGAUGGAAAUGAUGGUGCAAAGGCAAUGUCCUAUUAGUACUUCGAAUUUGUGUUGCAAUAUCUUGUUAAUAUCAAAACAAAACUUCACAAACAAAAUCCAAUUAUCCAUAGGAUCAUCUACAAUUCGAAUUACAUUAAACCAAAAAAGAAAAAGAAAUCGAACAAAACACAAUGCUCAAAUAUAUUACAUCUAACACAACAUAUGACGAAAAAAGCAACUCACACACCAAGAUUUGUAUUGUUCAAAAUACAGAGUACUUGUGAAUAUACGAAUGACUCAUAAGCAACCCCACUCAUUGAAAAAGUAUAAAAUUACUGUAUGCAUCGAGUAAUCUUCAUAAACUAGGGCUCCACAAGAAUCUUGCCCGUAGCAUGGCCUUCAAUGCUCUUGGCCCAAGCAUUUUCUGCCUUACUUAGAGGAUGCUUUGAAUCGAUUAUUGGCCUAAGCUUUCCUGCUUUCACCAACUUAACAAGAAAAUCGAGGUUCUCUUUCUUGGGUGAGGUGAACAAGGGUAAGAGUUGCUUCUUCGAGCAUUUAAUCUUUUUCGCAGCAACACUCAUCAAAGUACCGAAACCAGGGGUGGUAUUUACUACCUUUCCUUUCGGAGUCAAGUUAGCCGAAAAGGUAGACCAAGGAAUGUUGUGUGCGCAGUGGAUGAUCACAUCGUAUUUGCGACCAGAGGGGCUCUUGAGAGCCACCCCAUCAGGAGUUUUGUAGUCAAGAACCUCAUCAGCCCCCAAGCUCCUGACUAAAUCCAUAUUACGAGCCCCACAAGUGGCUGUAAUGUGUGCAUUUGCAAGCUUUAGGAGUUGAACUGCAUAUUGACCUACACCACCUGAAGCAGCGGUAACCAGAACAUUUACUUGUGGGCCGCUUCCAUCAAGUUUGAGACCAGCAAGCUGGGUGAGUGACUGGUGAGCUGCAAGGCCAGCAAUUGGCAAAGCUGCAGCUUCAGGGGCUGAUACCUCUGGAGGCCUUGGAACUGUGGAACCUUCCUUAGCCACAGCAUAUUCAGCUAGUGCACCUCCAUUCUGUGAUUGCAAAAUAGAUUCAUAAAAUAGGAGAUUGGCACAACAAAGGACAUAAAUGAUGCUAGAUAACAUAAAAAACAAGGAUAUGAAUGAAAACGGAGAAAAAGAAUCUAUGGCCUGCUUGUUGUAAAACUUCAACCAACGAACUUGUCGAGUGUAACAUCAAACAUACAUAUGUUCCUCACAUGCAAGUAUGCAACAAACCCAAGAAUAAGAAUGAGUGCUUACACCAAGUACGGCAACAACUUUAUCCCCGACUUUGAAACUCUGGACACCUGAUCCAACUUGUACGAUUUCUCCUGCUACAUCAGUACCUGCUCCACCAAAUGUUCUUUAGCUAAUGAUCGUACAAGAAAGAAAAGUUUCGAUGCUUUAAAUCCACUAAAGCAUUGAAAACUGAUGCAAAAUAAACCAUUGGGCUAAACCAUCUAGAGAAAAGUAAAGAGUACCAGGAAUGUGGGGGAAUUUGCGAGGUAAAAAUGGGCGUGCUACCCCCUCUUGUAUUUUCCAGUCGAUUGGGUUAAUACUAGCUGCCUCUACUUUGAUCAGAACUUCAGCCUUUUUUGGACUGGGAAUCGGAACUUCAGCAUGCUGCAACACCCAUAAAUUUCAUAUUCGUUAUAAGAUUACGUCACCAUCCAUUUUUUUUUCAAGCUUAUUCAAAAAAAAGACAAAUGUUGGAAAUGAUUUUGCAGAAAGAAAAAGAGAGAGAGAGAGAGUUGACUUAGCUGUCACAAUCGUUUAAUUCAUAAUAAUUUGGCUCAAUGUUAAAUCUACGGUACUAAUUUAAUAAACUUGAUUAAGGACUAAACAAAACAAAAAUUUAAUUAAAUCUCCAUCUUAUGCAUGAAAAAAAACUAGAAAUUUCUUUUUAUCCUUACUUUUUAACUCGAAACAACACUGCUGAGGAAAUAAAAACAUAAACAGCAAGAAUAUUACCUUGAGAUCAGCAACUCCUCCGUUAUAUUUACUGUAUUGAACAGCACGCAUCAGAUUGUUGGCCAUUUUCUUUCUUUUUCUAAGAGAAUAAAAACCGAAAGCUCCUUUUUAAAGUUUGUGGGAAGGCAAAAAAACUCAAGAUUAGAAUGUGAGACGGAGAAGGAGGGAAGGAUUGGAUGGAAUAUUUUGGUGUCAGAUACUUUGAAUUUAUAGUAAAGUAAUGCAGACAUGGAAUGGCUCCUUCCGAUCAAAGCGAGAUCAUUGAAUGGGUAUAGGUGUGAACUGUGAAACCGAUGUGAUGUGAUGUUCUAGAAGCAUUAGAGUUUUUUUAUUAUUCUUUUAAAGUCAAAGUCAUAAUUUUUUUAUUAAAUUGAUUGGAGAAUGUGUAUACUGUAUGGAAGUUUCCAUAAUAUGUUUGUUGAAUGGAAAUGCUUUUUCAUUUUGCUUAAACAUUUAACACAGCCUGAAAACAAUUAAUUUACGAAAAUAAAAUAUGAGAUUUUAAAAUAAUUAAUUGGUUUUUAUUUAAAAUAUUAUAUUAUAUUAAUUAUAUAAGUUAAAUAAUAAUUAUAUAUAUUUAUAUUAAUUCAUUAAAAUUAAAUUCAUUAUUUAAAACUUAAUUUUUAUUUUACCCAACUAAAUAAUUCAAUUUAAAAUUUAAAAAUUUAAAAAUUAAAUUAAAUUAAAUUAAAUAUUUAUUGUUUUUGUUUUUGUUUUUGUUUUUUAAUAUAAAUAUUUUUAAUAUGGUAGAAAACUUUUAUUUUAAUAUAAUUAUUUUUUUUACAUUCAAAAUUGUUGCAUAAUUAAAAACUUAAAACAAAAAAAUUCUCCAAGCCGUUUGCUUCUUAUAUUUUGUUUUGCCUUGUUGUGGUGUCAACAUCCGAACUGGUUAUCGCCUACAUUUUUAUCCCUUCCAUCAACCAUUUCUUUCUUUCUUUUUCUCAUUCACUCCACAUGUUUUCUCGCUUUUCAGUUUGUAGAUUUACUUUGUGGCUAUAUUUGAUGUUUGUCAUUUGUUAAAACUUCAUCGGCCACAAGUAGUUUUUCUAGAAAAAUAGAUGGCUCUUUGUCAGCUUCUUAAACUGUUUCUAUUUUGAUCUAUUUUUGUUUUUAGAGUAUUUUAGAAUAAUAAAUGAUUUCACAAGUCGAUUUAGACCUGUGUUGUCUUAAGGUUUUUUUUUAUUGUUUAGUAAGUCAUCAGUUUUAGAAGUUUUUGUUUGCUCUUAUAGCACAUUUUUUAGUCUUUCUUAUGCAUGUAAUAUUCCUUUUGCAAGUGAUUUUAAGGAUGAUUCUGUUACUCUCCUUUCUAGUUUGACGAAUGCUUGAUUCUUCUAUCGAUUUUUGCUCACCACAUUAGACCAUCCGAGGCUGAUUUUUUUAUCAUAUUAAGUGCUUGCAAUCACUUCAAAACUGUCAUGCUUGAGUUGUAACAAAGUCAAUUGCAACGUGUCAUAAUGUUCUAUUGAUGUUAAGGCUAAAGCCUUUAUUGUGUUUAUGGAGCUUGUCCUUCAUCAUCUACGACGAAUGUUAUUAUUUUUUUAUUGAAUGAAUUAAUAAAUUUAUCUUAUAUGAUUUUUUACUUAAAAAAUAUUUUUAAAAUAAAAAAUAAUCUAAAAAUUUAGAUAUGAACGAACAGAAUCAACUCAUGAACACCUCCGUAACGAAAACGAAAAAGAAAACAAGUUGGAAGUUGCCAAAUUAUAAAAUUAAAAAGGAAUGGCGGCCAGAGAUGGAAUGGUAGAUAUUAAUUAUAUUUGGAACCCAAUUUAAACACGUGAUAAAGAAUGGAAUCCAAUUGUUUAUGUAAAAAUGAAAAAGCAUUUUCAUUCAACAAAUAUAGUAUCGAAACUUUGACAUAAAAAAAAAUUCAACUGCUUCUAGAGCAUCAGAUUCGGUUUCGCAAUUCACACCUACACACGCAUUACAAUCGGGAACACCCAUUCCAUGUCUGGAUUGCUUUACUAUAAAUUCGAACUAUCAAACGCCAACAUACAUCAUCCCACAAUCCUAUCCAAUCCUUCCCUCCUUCACUUUCUCUGAUCUUCUUUCUUUGCCUUCGCCACAAACUUGCAAAAAGAGCUUCGCUUUUCAUUUUUUUCUUACGAAAAACAAAAAAAGAAAUGGCUAAUAAUUUGAUGCGGGCCGUUCAAUACAGUAAAUAUGGCGGAGGAGCCGAUGAUUUGAAGGUGAAUAAUUUGAGUUUGUUUCCAUGUUCUUGCAACCUUAACUUUUACAGUUUGCUUCUCUCCAUUUUUUAUGAACUUGAAAAAAGAAAUUGUUGGUCACCUGAUUUCAUAACGAGUGUGAACUUUGUGGGUGUUGCAGCAUGUUGAAGUUCUGAUUCCCAGUGCAAAAAAGGAUGAAGUUCUGAUCAAAUUAGAGGCAGCUAGUAUUAACCCAAUCGACUGGAAAAUACAGGAAGGGGUAGCCCGCCCAUUUUUACCUCGCAAAUUCCCCCACAUUCCUGGUACUUUUUACUUUUCCCAUGCCUGUUUCAGUCGCAUGCAUUGCAUUCUGAGCUUCACUUGUUUAGUAUCAUCUGGGUGGUUCAGCCCAAUAAUCUGAUUUGCAUCAGUUUUCAUUUGUGGAUUUAAAGCAUCCAAGCUUUUCUUCUUCUUCUUCUUCUUCUUCUUCUUUCUUUUUUUUAAAUUUUGAUUGCUUGUGUUCAAUCAUUGGCUAAACAACAUUUGGUGGAGCAGGCAC